Molecule: ribosomal RNA, 660 nt
Filed under: Roseovarius sp.
Lineage: Bacteria; Pseudomonadati; Pseudomonadota; Alphaproteobacteria; Rhodobacterales; Roseobacteraceae
Description: bacterial SSU rRNA
Rfam family: Bacterial small subunit ribosomal RNA
Source: RNAcentral
GCGAUGCGCGCUACCAUGCAGUCGAGCGAACCUUCGGGUUAGCGGCGGACGGGUGAGUAACGCGUGGGAACGUACCCUCUUCUGCGGGAUAGCCACUGGAAACGGUGAGUAAUACCGCAUACGCCCUUCGGGGGAAAGAUUUAUCGGAGGAGGAUCGGCCCGCGUUGGAUUAGGUAGUUGGUGGGGUAAUGGCCUACCAAGCCUACGAUCCAUAGCUGGUUUUAGAGGAUGAUCAGCCACACUGGGACUGAGACACGGCCCAGACUCCUACGGGAGGCAGCAGUGGGGAAUCUUAGACAAUGGGCGCAAGCCUGAUCUAGCCAUGCCGCGUGAGUGACGAAGGCCUUAGGGUCGUAAAGCUCUUUCGCCAGAGAUGAUAAUGACAGUAUCUGGUAAAGAAACCCCGGCUAACUCCGUGCCAGCAGCCGCGGUAAUACGGAGGGGGUUAGCGUUGUUCGGAAUUACUGGGCGUAAAGCGCACGUAGGCGGAUUGGAAAGUUGGGGGUGAAAUCCCAGGGCUCAACCCUGGAACUGCCUCCAAAACUCCCAGUCUGGAGUUCGAGAGAGGUGAGUGGAAUUCCGAGUGUAGAGGUGAAAUUCGUAGAUAUUCGGAGGAACACCAGUGGCGAAGGCGGCUCACUGGCUCGAUACUGACGCUGA